RNAcentral lists this ribosomal RNA (403 nucleotides) under uncultured bacterium. RNAcentral describes it as "partial 16S ribosomal RNA". It matches the Rfam family "Bacterial small subunit ribosomal RNA", at positions 28 to 526 of the family's 1533-position model. The record is from RNAcentral.
GACGAACGCUGGCGGCGUGCCUAAUACAUGCAAGUCGAACGCAGUGGGGAUGGGUGAGUAACACGUGGGUAACCUCCCAUCAGAGGGGGGAAAACUUGGAAACAGGUGCUAAACCGAGACUGAUGGAUGGACCCGAGGUGGAUUAGCUCGUGGGUGAGGUAACGGCUCACCAAGGCCACGAGGCAUAGCCGACCUGAGAGUGUGACCGGCCACACUGGGACUGAGACACGGCCCAGACGCCUACGGGAGGCAGCAGUGGGGAAUCUUCGGCAAUGGGCGCAAGUCUGACAGAGCAACGCCGCGUGAAUGAAGAAGGUUUUCGGAUUGUAAAGCUCUGUUGUUAGAGAAGCGGUAACUAACCAGAAAGCCACGGCUAACUACGUGCCAGCAGCCGCGGUAAUUC